GAGUACGAGGUUCAAUCAUUUUCAUCCUUCAUGAGCUGGCGAAUUUUUGGAAGAAUCAUUCCGUUAGCUAGCAGGAUCUCUUCCAGAUUUGGUGGUCCUCCAAAUUGAUGUGGUCCCUCAAAUGAAAGGAUAAGGUUUUGUCUGUAGUGAAUCUACGGUAACCAUCUAUUUUUACUUUUUCCUGCGGUAAUUGUCCUGUUUUACCGACGUAUUGACUCUUUGUGUG
RNAcentral lists this long non-coding RNA (226 nucleotides) under Lathyrus oleraceus (garden pea). RNAcentral's name for it is "Pisum sativum (pea) long non-coding RNA (PSAT_LNC021634)". The record is from RNAcentral. Lineage: Eukaryota; Viridiplantae; Streptophyta; Magnoliopsida; Fabales; Fabaceae.